Molecule: long non-coding RNA, 18027 nt
Filed under: Lactuca sativa (garden lettuce)
Lineage: Eukaryota; Viridiplantae; Streptophyta; Magnoliopsida; Asterales; Asteraceae
Description: long non-coding RNA (LSAT_LNC006925)
Source: RNAcentral
AUGCAGUCAUCUGUAGACUCAUGAGGAACAGAAAGUGGCCCAGCUGGGUAAAGUCGCAUUGUUUCUUUGAUAAUGGCUUGAAGAUAGACCAAGUUCUUCAAGUCCGACUCUUCAACCAUUCUAUCUCGUCCUACAUGCUUCUCGAUCUCUUCUUGGGCUUUCUUUAACACAACAGGGUUGCUGACCAGUAAAGCUAAACCCCAUGUUAGAGUCGCUGUUGUGGUAUCGCUGGCUGCAGCUAAAAGUGCCUGAUAAAAGCAAUAAAAACUCACAACUGUUGUUUUGAUAUGUAACUUAAGGAUUACCAAUAAAUAGUACCAAGCAUGUAGCUUUCACAAUCGCAUCAGUGCUGAAGCCAAAAAGAUCCUUUUUAAGUUCUUUAACACGAGACAACAAAGCGGACAUGAAGGCUUCUUCUUCUUCUUCCCUCUCAUCUACAUGUUGUGUUGAGUUCAUCUUCUUUCUAUGCUCUUCUAACCAUCCUUCAAUUACAACAUCCAAUUCUUUAGCUGUCUUCUUCAUCUUCUUCUCAUACCCUCCUAUAUCCAUCCACCUCAACCAUGGAAUGGCAUCAGAAGGUACAAACGCGCCCAAUAGUUCUGAAAACCAUCUAAUGGAUUUCUUAAAUUCAACUUCCUUUUGUUCUCCAGGUGAAAAUCGGUUCCCAAAGAUCACCCUCACAGUCAUGUUUAGAAUCAAGUUCCUGAACCACUGUUUCAUAUCAACCUUUAUCGUUUCAGAUGACCCUUUAUUUGUCUUCCAAUCUUUAUACAAAUCUGUAAUGGAUGACUUCAAUUCAGAGGCUCGGAUUUGUGAAAGCAUUUGAAGGCGAUGAUGAGAGGCAAGUUCAAGAACAACUAUCUUCCGUAUCUCACGCCAGUAUGAUACUUGUGGUGAAAGAGCGAAAUUAGCAUAGUUGUAGCCCAUCAGCUCAGUUGCCAUGGACUUUGGUCUAGUUGCAAAGACUCUAUCGUUUGUGGUUAGGCACUCUUUAGCCAUUUCUGCAUUGCUCACAACUAGGACUCGAUUAACCCCAAGUUUGAUGGUGAAUAUUGGUCCAAACUUGUGGGCCAUAGAGCCUAAGAGUUUGUGAGGAACUUGAGAACCAGAUAAAAGAUAGAGGUGACCAAUUAUCGGCCAUGAGCCUGGUGCUUCAGGUGCUGUCUUUGCUAAUCCUUUGCUGCUCGUGUAAUUAGCUCCACUUCUUAUCCACGCCAGAUGACCAAAAAACAGGAAACAAGAUAUAGUUGCUGUAAAGGUUAUGAAUGAUAGAAGUAAAUCCAUGAUUAUCUUUUUGGAGUGAUAUGGAUGAAGUAAUGAAACUUGAGGCGAUUCUAAUGCUAGUUGAUAGCUGGGGACCCUAUCAUACACCACUAGAUAAAUGAUUCUUGUUAGUUCGUUUUUCAACAUUUAAUCGUAAGAUGGUCAAACACGUGUGAUUCCGCUGUUCAAAAAAAAAAAAAACGUGUCACCAUGUUAGUGACAUUUGAGGAAAUACCUGUGCUAGCUAGCCACUAAGGAAAUAAGUCAAAAAAACCUUCUGGAGGCACAACACAACUAAGUUAAAAAAAAAAAAAAAUGUAUAAAAAAAGAGGUUAGAUGUUAUAUUAUCUUCUUUUAAUUACUGCAGCAAAACUUAUCGAAGGAUAUUCAUAAAAAAGAUCAAAUGCUUUUUAUAUAUUAUUGAAAACGAUUAAGUUAAGUUUUUACGGAAAUGAGACAUUUUUGAAGUAACUAGUUAUAUAAAGUUCAACUAUUUCUGUCUUUCACUAAAAAAUCUUUAGAGAACAAAGAUUAUAUCUUCAGCGAAACAUUUCUAGACAAAUUACACCCUGGCUUUUAUGACGUUUUAUCGAGAUUUAAUUGCGUUUUUGUAAGUUUCUUUUCAAUAUCAUUAGCUUAAUUUAUAAUGAAAACAAGAAUAUCGGACUCCGGAAAACGUAUUUCAAGCAUGUUCAUCGAACUCCGAAAAACGUAUUCCGAACAUAUACAUCGGAUUCCGAGUUCUGGCCACCGUGUUUUAUGAUAUUUUUCACAUUUAAUUUUACACAAUAAAAUAUGUUAUAUAUGUUUGUCUAUAUGUUAAGCUUUAUGAUGUUGACCUCAAAAUAAGUAUAUUGAUGUGUUUUUUUUUAGAUUUCUUGAAAAAAAUAUAUGCAUCAAAGCAACGUCUUUGUUUAGGACUUUUAGUCGGUUUAUCUUUUGUUUUGUUAAUAUACGGUACUUAAAGUUGAAGCGUAAGGGAUCUAAAAGAGUCACUGCUUAUCAUGAAGGGAUCUGAAAAAAUUGGUAUCAUUGGUGUUUGUUUCAAUAAUCCUGGUUCUAGACCUUACGUAUAUCAUCAAGGAUGAAGUCACUAACUCCAUUGGGUUUGCCAUAGUCGAUUAGUGUUUACCUUUUAGGGUAUGGGGUUACUUGUCAGGCGAGUCAUGGUUGAUGACUUACGUAUUUGAGAGAAAGAAGCAUCGGAAAUUACUCCAUUGAGUGGGGUUUUGUCCAUUAACGAUUAUGGUUUGGGAUUUAUGAUUUCUUGUAUUUCAUUAUGUAUAAAUGAAAGCAUUAAAUUUUUCGUCUUCAUUUAUUUUAUAAGUUUUUAUUUAAAUAAAUAACUAGAUUAUAGCCCGCGUUAAACGUGGGAAACGCAUAAAAAAACAUAUAAUCGUUUAUAGAUAUUGUAUAAUGAUUAUAAAAAAAUAUAUGGUUAUUGGUAUUAUUGAAAUGUAUAGAAAAUACAUUGAAAACGAUAAAUAUAUAUAAUCACUGAAAGAUCUCUUUGUAGACAUCAUUUUUUGUUUUAUUAGUUGAACGACUUUCCUCGUCUCAUAUAGUUAUGGUAUUUAUAUAUUUAUAAGCAUUUUAAUUAGUCGUUCCUUGCAUAAUAAUGUUACCUAAUUUAAACAUAUAUUGACAACCAAUAUACCGUUUUUUCUAUUACAUUAAAUAUUGACAACUAUUUCAUUUAUUCAAAUAAAGUUAUGUAAUAUAAUUUAUAAAAUGUUAAAUGUUAUAUAGAUUUAAUUUUAGUAUAUCAUCAAUGGAGAUUCUUUUCUAAAUCAUGAUUGGUUUAUUUUAAAUUAAUUAUAAAUAUAAAUGCUAGCUUUUAUGUUUGCUCUUAUUUAUUUGGUGUUCGCAAGAACUUUGCAUUAGUUUUGGCGCAACUUUGAAUAAUUUUAGUAUAUCAUCAAUGUAAUUUGAUAUAUCUUUCAAUUAUAUGAAAUAUCAAAUAAUGACAUUUCAUUACUAUUAUGAUAAUUUAGUUUAUAUAUUGUAUUGUCACUAAUCUUAACGGUCUUAUUUUUUAUAAUAAUCGUAACGCUUUUACUAAAUGUAUUUUUUACAAAUCUCCUAAUAUCUUAUAAUUUGUAUCUUACUUUAUAAUUUUCAUAACUAUGUUAUUUUCAAGAUUGACUGUUUUAAUAAAAAAAUUUUCAGUCUAUUCAAUUUUAUAUUUCAUUGUACAACAUUAUCGUUUGUAUGUAUUCUGAAAUUUCACUUUAAAAAUGUUUAAUGUUUACACCUUUAUAUAAAUUUUUUGAAUAAACUCAUGUAAUAAUUAUGGAAUAUAUAUCUCAUUUUAAUUAACAUUCACUUCCUUUAUUAUAUCAAAUUCCUCAUUAAACGGAUAUACUUUUGGAAAAUAAUAAUUAUAAUAGGGCAGCAUUAUCUAAGACGUAAAUGUUUGAUAUACUUUUGGAGAAAAAAAAAUCAGGAUCAUUAAAAAAAAUUUUAUAAAGAAAAUACAAAUUUAAAUUUGUUGAAAUUAUGGAUGAAAUUACUGGCGAAAAUUUAUUUUGGAGGGAGUUGUAUUUUGUAAGGUAUAAUAAUAUUACAAAAUUUGAAAUAUCUAUAUUUGUUGUGUAAAUUAAUAAAUUUUAUUGUUACUAUACAAAGAUAAAAAAGUAGGUUGAUAUGAUAUACAAAAACAUAAUAAUUUCAAUGAUAUUUUAAAAUCAUGCCAAAAUUAAUUGGAUUCUUAUGACAUAAAAAUUAAAAAAAAUCAUAAUCAUCUCUAAUAUAUAAAAAUAACAUUUUCGUAAUUAAUGUCAAUUUCCAAGAUAGUUAAUUUUUGUUUUGUUAAAAGUACCUAAUAUAUUUUCAUGUUUAUUUGAAAAGUUUCAGAAAAGUAGUUAACUGAUUUCAUGUAAUUUGUGACAAAGAAAAUCGAAAUAUAUGAAUACAUAUAUUUGAUAUAGGAACAAAAAAUAAUCGAAAAAAAUAUAAAAAGCGAAAGAAGGUACUGACCUUCUAGCGCACAAGAGCGAAUGUUUAUAGCAGAGAAUGAUGAUGGAAGUUAUAAGCAAUAUUAAUGAUGUUGUAGGAGAAGUUUUGAAGAAAACAAACGAUUGAAAAUAAAUGUGAGUCGCGGAUUCAAUGAUGAAUCGUAUAUGUAUGUGAUAAUUUGAAUAUGAUUUUUCGGUAUUAAUGAUUUCCUAACAAAAAAAGAUUUUAUAUUAAUGGUUUACUAAUAUAAACAGAUUUAUAUUAAUGGUUGAUAUUAAGGCCUAGAUUGAAAUGAUUUUUUAGUGAUAUGUUUUUAAAAUUGACCAUAUUAAAAUCUUCAUAACUGAAAAUUCAAGAUAUAAAAUAUGGAAAGCUUUUAUUGGAAUUAAAUACAUUUCAUUUCAACGAAUGUAUGUUAUUGAUUGAUGAUUGGAAAGCAUUUAUUGAAAUUAAAUACAUUCCAUAUGGGGAAGAUGAUGUCAGCAAUUUGAUCUAAAGGUGGAAAAAAUAAGAUUAAAAUACAAUCAAUGGUCCAGAUUAUUUAAAAUGAUGUCAUAAGGUUUCUCUUUUAGUAAUAUUUAAGAUGAGUAUGUUCACUAAAGUACCAUACAUAUUUAAAUAAAUAACACCGCAUUGUUAGGUUUGUAAACAUCAAAUAAUAUUUCAUACAAUAAACAUACAAUUCCAAAUAGAAUAUUAGUCAAUAUGUGAUUAACUAACAUUCAUCGUCUCAUUUAAAUGAUGAAUAUAUUACUUGAAAUACGAUACAUAUUUAAGGAUUGAGUGAAGUGACAAAAUGGUAGUGUUUGAUAUGUUUGUAGUCGGCAACAUAUAGAAAAAACGAAAAACAAAUCAUUUAUUAUUAUUGUUUGAUAAAUAAAUAAUUCUGAUAAAUUAAUAACCCUGAAUGUGAUAUACUAGAAUAGGGCCAUAUUUCACUUUCAUAUAUAAGCAUAACCAUGUACUUAUUGCCUUGCAUAUUCCGCUUAAAUGAGUAGAUACCAACUUUAUCUAUUGAAGCAUAUAAUACUGUGAAAUCUUUAGUGUGUACUUUGGUAACCGGUAGGGAUAGGGUUGUAACUGAGUCAAGACAAUUCGUGAGAUACUCGAGACCGACUUGAAAUCGAUUUGGUUCGAGUCGAGCUACCUAUGUACAUUAUCGAGCCAAGCUCAGGUAUUGGAAUACUCGGCUAGUGAUAUUAGCGAGCUUAAUCGAGCAUAUUUAUAUUUAGACUUUUAAUCUUUAUUUUAUAAGUACCUAUUUACAUAUUAUAGAGUCGUCGAACAACAUAGUAUCUUUAUUGCAAUUUAAUAUAAUUUUGUUUUUUUAAUAGGUAAUCGAGUCGAGUCGAGCGCAAAAGUCAAGAUUACUUCAUAAAGCUUCAACUCGAGCUUAAAAAUUAAGGCUUGCUGAGUCGAACACGAGCCAAGUUUUUAGUCGAGCCGAGUUUCGAGCUUGGCAGUACUCGGCUCGAUUACAUACCCCCGGUAACCAGUUCAUCAACGCAUUUUUACCAUAUUCGUGCAUUUAGACUGAAGUAGACAAGUAGUACAACGAAAUCAUUAAUUAAGUUGCGCCUUAAAGAACACAUCGGCUCAUAUCAUAUAAGAAAUCGUUUGUAGAUUUUGUUUGCCAAGUCUAGUGUCAUAAGGGUGUUUGCAAGGUGUUCCAUAAGGGUGGCGGUAUAUUGCCAUGGUAGGGUAGUUUUAAAAACUUGUUCCAUUUGAAGAGUGUUCCCAAGGAGAUGUGUGUUGGAUAAAUAUGGAACCACUUCAUAAAUAUAUAUAAUGUUAUCAUUAAAUCUGAUUAUUAUGGUAAGAAUAUAAAUUGUUGAUAGACCGAUUUAUAAGAUAUUCACUUACUUUAUGUGGGUUGAAUUUCCGAUUUAACUCAAGAUCCUAAAGAUAUCUUCCAUCUCUCACGUACAUUAAGGUAUAUUGUUAGGUUCGAAAUAGUUGUAAGGUGUCAAAGUGUCUUAUGUCUUUUGUUAGUAUCAAAGUCAGUAUUGUUUAUUUGCAUAAAGGUAUAUUGUAAUGUCAAAGCGUGAAUGUAUAAGCCCUUAUGUACUUUUUUGGUUACUUUUGUCAUCCCUAUAAAUAGGGGUUAGAUAUUAGAGUUGGUGUAUUUUUCGAAGUCACUGCUACUUGUACUCUAUUUUUUCUAUAUCUUCAAAAGCAAUAUAUUGAGCCAAAUUAGAAUUAUUUACGAUUCUGUGUUCUCUUUUAAUUCAUACUCAGAUUUCAUUUCAUACAUUCAAUUAAUAACAACUACAUUUGGUAUCAGAGCAGGAUGCAUUUAGUUGAUCUCUGAUUUUCUCCGGUUUUCAAAAGUUUUUGAAUCUCAUUCUAGAUUCAAAAUUUCCGCACUUGUGAUUCUGAAAAUCUAUUCAGAUCAUCUAAUUUGAUUUGAUUAUGUUCUUAAUUUGUUAAUCGAGUGUUUUGAGUUUGAUUUCUGCAAAUUUCAUCCAUCAGAUCUUAAUUUCUAAAGCUUUUUCCAAAACUCAUUCGUACAACAAUGGCGAAUUUCAAUAUGAAAACAAUUACUUCUUAUUCACAUCUCCUUGGUUCUUCAACCAGAAUCUUUAUGUUGAUCCCUGAGUACCUAUGAUCAAUGGGUGGAUAGGAUGGAAGACUGUCUGAAUGGAAUUGAUGGAGAACUCUAGAAAUGUAUCACUGUUGAUGUCGGAUGUUCGAGUUCGUUACAAAAUAUUGGAUCUGCUGCUUCCAGCUGUAGUGUACAAUUAUGUCUGUGGAUGUUCUAUUGCUAAGGAAAUUUGGAAUACACUAAAGGAAAAGUAUCAAGGAAGCGAGAAAACCAAGAAGAGUUCUGUUAAGCAAUGUUUGCUUGAGUUAGGUGAAUUCAAGCAAAAAGAAGGUGAGAAAAUUGAGCUCUAUUAUGAUCGUCUGAAUGAGUUAAUCUUCAAGUGUAGCAGGUAUGGAGUCAACGGAUCAACAAUGCAGUACAAUGUGACUUUUCUCAUGGGACUUCGUAAGGAGUGGCACAAUGUUGGUCUGAUGAUAAAAACUCAACAAUGUUUCAACAAUCUUUCUCUUAGUGAUCUUUACAUUGAGUUGAAAACUCAAGAACAGGAAGUAAAUGAGAUUGUUAAGGAAACUAGAAUCAGUUUGGGUGGUCCCCUAGCAUUGAUGUCUAAGGUGACAAACAAAGAAGCUGAGAUUGAGUUUGCUAAGAAUGAAAGUUCGGAAGAUGAAGGAAUAAUUGUGAAUGUUGGUGACGAAGCAAUAGCUUUUUAUUCAAAUAAUAAAGUGAAAAAGUUUUUCAAGAAGCCUUUCAAUUUGAAACCUAAAACAAGUUAUUCAAAAGUUUUGAAACAAUAAAACAAUGAUCAAUAGAUUCAAAACAGUUUAGAAGAAUCAAACAAUAAGAACAAAGAUUGAAUGUGAUUGAAAGAGUGUCGAAUGCUUAAUUAUCAAUAUCUUAGAAGAGUUCGAUAGAACUUCUCUGUAAGGAUACGUAGAGCUACAAAAACAUUAACCCUAAAACAAUUCAUGCAUGUUAUAUUUAUGGUCUAGCCCUAGUAUCAUAAUGACAGAUGGACAGGCCCAAUCCGAUAAUAAUAAUAAAUACUAUAUACAUGCAUAAUCAAUAUUGACACAACACCAUAAAUAUCCCAACAAUCUCCCCCUUUGUGUCAAUAAGGAAGGAAAAUUCUUCACUGUUGGAUACGCUUCUGAACCUUGAAAAGUUUCAGCAUUAGACCACGCAAGGUUUUGCGAAUCAAAAUAUACCAUUUAAUCAUAUCAGCGAAGCACUUCUUAUCCGCAACAUCAUUCCCUUUGUAAGCUUCUGCUAAUCCGAAAACAUAUUCCAGACACGAAGUGGAAUACAAAUGCUUGUCAGGCAGAAAGAAACAAUAUUUCUGAAAUUUCUCACUAGCUCUAUCUCGUUUUUCGAAUGUCAUACUCCAAUUAUCCUUUAGAAUCCUUCCCAGCUUCAUCUUGUCAAGGUCUUUCGGAGCUUCUUUAGGCAGCACUAUGGGUUUCUUUCGGAGCACGUUCGCAAUCUCCAGAUCAAUCUUACCAACUUCUUGGAUGUAGCAUAUCAGCAUCCUUUUUAGAUGUGCCAAGAUGGGUUCGAAUUUUUGUUCAUCCUUUAAUAAGAGAUGGAACAAGUAAAUCCAAUCAUAUGGAUUAAGGCACGGCAAGUCUGCGAGUGAAAACUCAAAAACUAAGCUUUUUGCUCCAUGGAAAACUUUGAAUUUAGCAUUGAUAAAGCUUUCCAUUUCAAUUGGCCCGAUGACUUUCACAGCUGUAAUUUUCUUUGAACUCCAGGAUUGGUAUUGAGGCUUUCCGUGCUUGAGAUAAAAAGAGAUAAGCAUCUGAUGAACAUCGUUGUCCGAAUCAAGUGCUCUCACAAUCCUGUCAAAGCUUCUAAACAGGAAAGCUUUCAGAGUUAUUGGAAAGUCAAGUUGAGACUCCGAAGUAUUUUCCAAUUCAAACGAAGUAAUUGGCUCCAACUAGUAUACAUUCGAAUUGUCUAUCGCCUCAUUCAGAAUCCUCUCCAUAGACCAAGGAGGGAAUAAAGACUUCUGAGUUUUGAGAGUGACCUGGGCAUCACGAGCCUCUCUUUUAUGAGCUUCAACUUCCGUUGCAAUAAGUUAAGCUUCGUCAAGCUCUUGGUCAUGUUUCUUUCUUUUUAAGCUGAUCUUCUUCUAAUAAAUCUUCUUCUUCAUCAUCGUCAUCGAUCAACUUUCCUUUUCCUUUUGACCCAGAAGCUUCAUUACCCUUCGGAUCGUUUGGAUUUGGUUUUUGCUCAUGCUCAUCAGAGCCACCAGUUGGUUUCUUGAGUUCUUCACCAGAUGCCUGCUUUUCUUCUCCCCUUUGUUUCAGAAGAGAGCUAGACUCUGAAACAUCCUCUAAAAGAUUGAGCAUUGAGAAGACGGGUUUAAGUUUAUCAGCAAGAUGUUAGCAAACGGAGACCAUGAGUAAAGAAUCACGAGUGUCAAUGAGAUUUAGUAAGUAUUGGUUAACAUCUCCAAUACAACGUUUUAUCACAGCCUUUUCAGACUUGAGCUCAUCAUUCUGUUGUUGUGCAUGCGACAGUUGCACAGAAAGAACUUUGAUCUUCUUAGUUUUCACCGCAAGUUUAUCCAUAAGUGAAUACUCGAUAACAAGGUCCUCUUGAAGCUUAUCAAGCUGGGAAGUAAUAGAAGUUUGCAGCUCAGCAUUAUCAGCCUGAAUUUCAGUGCAAACCUUUGAGAGAGCAGUUUUGUCAGUUUAAAGAGUCGAGCCAAGACUCGUAAUGACUUCAUUCGCAGCUUCAGUGUUUUUUUCCGAGGAUCGACAAAAGUCCACCAUAAACUCAGUUACAUCAUUCACUAGUUUUUCGACUUUUUCGGUUGCAUCACGAACGGUCUUUUUUGAAUUUUCUAUAGCUUCUGUAGAGGCAUCAAGACUUUUGGAAUGCUCCUUGGUGAGAGUCUUGAUUAAUGCCUUGACAAACUCAAAGGUGUAGUCAUUUCUAGAUGAUGAUUUGGAAGACUCAAUUAAAGUAUCCAACUUCUCAUUGAGGGCUUUGAAUUGCCCCUUCGUCAUAGGUUCAUCUCCGUCAUCACUUUGAUGGUUGAAUAUUGAAUGGGUUGUAGUGGAAGUCUUGGAAAUCAUCCCAAUCGUCACCAAAAAUCAUAUCAGGAUCAUCAUCGCGUAAAGGUGAGAUUGGGGUAGAACUAGGACCGAUUGUAACACCAGAAGCACCAGCCCUCAUAUCAGAUACGCUAACAGUUAUUGGUUGUGUACUAGUGGUUAUGGUGGUUGUGGCGGUAAAUUGGGUGUAAAGAGGAGUGGUUUGAGUGAUGGAGAUAUGUGGUUGCGAGACCCCCACAGAUAUAUUCGUACAUGGAGCAAUGGUGAUUGGUGUAGAGAUGGGUGUAGAUGUAGUAGUAGGAGAAGAUAGAGGAGUAAAGCCACGUAAAAAGAUCUUCUGUUAAUGGAACAGAGGUGGGAAUCAAAAAAGUUACAUGUGGAUUGGAUUGAGUAGUUGUAUAUUCAGUUUCUUGUUGGACUUGCACUAUUUGCUAAAUUUUUGAAAUUGUAUGAGACUCCAAAUCCCCUCAACAACAGGAGUAGGAGACCUUGGCUUGCGAGCCGAUUUCUUUACUUUCUUCUUCGGAACUUGAGUUGGUUCGGAAGGUCCAGCUUUCGUCUUUCGCUUACCUCCCUUUUUAGCCUUGUUCGCUUCCUCCAAAGCCUUGUGCAUCUCAGGUGUUAAAUGGUGAGGACCUGAUUAGGUUUCUUCUUAUACUUGUUGAUAAGCUCGUUGUCUGUUGGAACACAGUUGAGCAUUGCCUCUAGAAGAGAUCAAAUAAAGGAAAACUUCAUAGGAUCAGACACGAUGAAGUUCAAAGUGUGAAAGAUCGAAAUAGCUACUAUUAUACACCCCUCAGUCACCAGAAUGUUGAGCUUAGUAAUGGCUCUCUGGACGAUGAUGGACCAUAACCAAGCACAAGAAAUCUCUGAGUGACAUGUUGUGGAAAGAGUACUCUAAACUAGUUGUGCCCAAAGGAUGGAACCAUAAUAUAGUUUGAUUCCAUGGUAAAGUUCGUAGAUUAUAGUGCAAAAAAGCUUACUUCCACAGUUCGAGCCUGUGACCGCUCUGAAAAACUUUUGAAGAGAAUGGUAAAGAGUCCAUUCCACAUCGGAAGUAGGUUGGGCUUCUUGAACUUGGAUAAAAUGGAGAGAUUUCCCACAUAACCCAUCUGGUAGAACAUCUCCAGGAUUGCAGAAGAAGAUAUUGACCCCGGAUCAACUAGAUCCCUAGCUUGAGAAAACCCUAGCAAUCGGCUGAAACGAGAACCGGAUCAACUAGAUCCCACGUUUAUGAUGUCAGGGUUUUCGAAAAUUCUCGCGCCUAAUUUGAAAGCUUAUCCCUUGUAAACCGUCGCUUCAGUUUUGGACGUUCGUAAUUCAACAUAAUUCACCAGAACCGGUUCUCGGAUUUGAAAGAAUCAUUCGGAAGUUAGAACAAGACAGUUGAAAAAUCACGAGGAUUUUCGUGCAUAAGUGUGCCAAAGAUAAAGAAAUAAAAAAAUAUAUAUAUAUUUGGGAUUCUGUCAUGUCAGUUUUAAAAAUUAACACAAAAGCAUAUGGAUCCCGGGCAACGAUCUCUUCCUUCGGAGUCAAUAGAGACUCGGAAGUGCUUGCAUGGCUUUCCGUUGAAAUACGAUCAACUAUUUGUUGAGAAAUAGUGAAAGGCUUUUGUUCAUUAGACUUUAAAGGGUGGAUUAGCUUCAACCAAACUCCGAAACUCAACAUAAGUCUGAAAGUAUGGAAGAAGUACUUGUCUGACCAGUGUAACCAUAAUAACAAGUAUGAUUUGGAAUUAUUUGAGUGGCUAGAUAAUUUGGAAAUCUCAAGGAAAAAUAAAAAUUGGAUCUAUUGGGAAGAAAUGUCUUAGGACGAGAACAUUUCAUUAAGAUCUCACAAAAAUAAAAAUAAUGAGAUUCCAAGGUACAAAACCAUGAAGGUUGAUAUUCGUUAAUUCCAUGGUGAAUAAUAUUGAACUUGUUAAAUGUUCAAUGUCAAUUCAUAGAUAGGAUUCGGAUUUUGGGUUUCACUCAAAUUGUGGUAAUAACAAUUCGAAGAUCAUUAACAUAGAAGUUAUGUAACCAUAAACAUCAGUGGUAAACUCUGAGAGUCUAGUGUGAAAGCGAAUGUAAUAUAUAGAACUGUUAAAGGUGGUUCCACAGAUAAAAAUGUACCUCUGUUAUAUUGCGAAUGACUAAGCAGUCUACUCUUAACUCAAUAUGAGAAGAGUAAGGUAGCUCAACGACUUAUGUGAAUAUUAGCCUGAUUGUGAAGAAACAUUCGGAGUGAAAGUUUCAUUAAGGCUUAAUCAUAGAGUCUUAGAGGCUUUGGUCAACAUGCAACAGCAUGCUUCUAGGGACACUUAGCUAGUACAUAGAAUCGGAGUUAUAUACAUCAUUCUGAAUUGUAGUGACGAUAAAGUACCUAAGAUAACACAUAUUUAAAAAAAAAUAGCACACAAAUAAACAAAACAAAAAAUAUUUUGGAGUUUUUGAUUUUCUGAAAAGAUAAAACAUAAACAAGAAAGUAAAUAUAUUUUUGGAUUUUGGAUUUUCUUGAAAAAGAAACAAAUACAUAAAAGAAAAAUAUUUUUGUAUUUUGAAGUUUCUUAAAAGAAAAUAAAACCAGAAAAGAAAAUACCGAAAAUACAUAUUAUACAAGGAUACAUGAAGUUCCGGGUUCCAUAUGAACAGUAGACUUUGAGUCAUUCCGAGCGCUCGAACCCGUUCGAAGUGUGAACAAUGAGAUACGAGUACCUCCGAGGGUUUGGAUCGGUUUGGAACUUAAGUGAUGCAUUUCGAUUACGAAGAUGGUUUUGGCAUAGAUUCUGCUUCUAUCAUUCCUAAGCCUUGUAGAAUACGAUUGAAGGUUGUUUCAGGCAAGGCUUUCAUGAAGAUAUCAACAAGUUGAUCAGAGGAUCUUACAAAAUGUACUUCGACGUUACUAUCUUCUACGUGAUCCUUUAUCAAAUGAUACCUAAGUGUUAUAUGUUUCGUCUUGGAAUGUUGCACUGGGUUCUGACAAAUCCGAAUUGCACUUUCUAAAUCACAAUAGAGUAGAAUCAUCUUCAUUGUUAUGCUAUAGUCUCAAAGUUGGCUUUGCGUCCAGACCACUUGCGAAGUGCAUGAUGCAGUUGCGAUGUAUUCAGCUUUUGCAGUUGAUAGGGAUACACACGUAUGUUUCUUUGAUUGCCAACUUACUAGUUUGCCAUCUAGAAACUGACAACCCCCAUAAGUGCUUUUACGAUCGAGACCGCAUCCGCCUAGAUCAACAUCCAAAAAUGCUCUUACAAAGAAUCCAGAGUUUGACGGAUACCAUAUUCCGAGAGAAGAUGAUCUUUUCAGAUAUGUCAAAAUAUUCUUCACAACAGUCAUGUGAGGUUCACGAGGAUUCACCUAAAAUCUAGCACAAUAACAAACAGCAAACAUUAUUUCUGGUCGAAUGGAUGUUAGAUAUAUUAAUGAUCCAAUCAUCUGCCUAUAUAGAGUAAUAUCCGCUGUAGGUUUGUCCAAGGAUGAUUUGCCACGUUCCGAAUGCCAUCGGGACUUUAACUCGUGAAUCUCCUACCAUUCUGAAUUUCGCAAAUAAUGACUUGGUGUAGGCUUCCUGGUUGAUAAAAAUCCCCUCCGAACUCUGUCUAAUAUUUAAACCAAGGAAAAAAUUAAUAGGAACCAUUGAGCUCAUCUCAAAUGUAGUCUCUGUCAACUUUCGGAAUUUAGCAGUCAAUCUAGGAUUGGUUGAUUCGAAAAUGAUAUCAUCAACAUAGAUUUGGCCGAUCAUCAUAUGGUCACCAUCUUUCUUACGAAAGAAGGUUGGGUCGACCGAGACUUGUUUAAACUUUGAUUGUUUUAAGAAUCGGGUAAGGGUUUCAUACCAUGCUCGAGGAGCUUGUUUCAAACCGUACACAGCCUUAUUCAAAAUGUAGCAAUGGUUUGGAUACUUCUCAUUUACGAAACGCGAUGGCUGCUCCACAUAGACCGUUUCCUCUAACUCACCAUUUAGAAAGGCACAUUUUACAUCCAUCUGAUAGACUUAAAAGUUCUUAUGAGCUGCGUAGGCGAGGAAAAUGCGAACAGGUUCUAGCCUCAUAACCGGAGCGAAUGUCUAUUCAUAGUCUAUGCCUUCUUGGCAGUAUCCUAUAACAACCAACCGAGCUUUGUUCCGGAUGACAUUUCCUUCCUUUUCAAGCUUGUUCCGAAACACCUAUUUCAUACUAACCACAGAAGCAUCAUUUGGAGUUGGAAUCAGUCUCCAUACUUUGUUGCAUUCGAACUCGUUAAGCUCUUCCUGCAUAGCUUGCACCCAAUCAGAGUGAUCAAGAGAAAUCUUUAUAUUCUUGGGCUCAAUUUUGGAGAUGAAUGAAUUGAACAUGCAAAAUUCCAUCUUUGAAAAUAAUGUAGUUUGAUUCGCUUUUUGUUGAGCUCUCGUGACAACUCCAUAAGUUGGUGCUCCGAUAACUUGAGUCUUGGGAUGAUCUUUGGUCCAUUUGGUUAAUGGUGGGUAGUUUGGAUUAUAAGUUGGGUCCAAUUCGGCAUUCACAUCUUCAAAUUCUGAUUGAGCGUCGGAGUCAUUAUUUUCAUUCUCAGGCUCCCCUUGGGAGUUUGCAUGUGACUCGAUGUUCGGAAUAGGAUUCUCCCCCUGGAUAGUACUGAAUUCAGGGUUUGAAUUCUCCCCCUCAACAGAUGUUUCGAAUAUGGAGGUUGAAGUUGAACCCUCCACCUGGAAUGUAGUAGUAUAAGGUUGUAUCUGGGGAAGAACUUCAGAAGUCUUCGUAAUCAUUGUUGACAUUUGGAUCCUUCGGACUUUCCCUUUCGGAUUCGAGAUCUUUUACGGAGUCAUUUAUUAUCUUCUUUAACUCAUCCUCUUGGUUAUCCUUAGCCUUUCAUUCGGAAGUGAUGGCUUUCUCAGACUCAUCAAAUAAAUUCAUGAAUUCCUCAUACAAGUUCAGCAGAGGAAUCGUUUGUGAGGGAGUUGAUGGGAAAUUUUCUUCAGAUGGACUGGUAGACUUCUGAUGCUUCUUGAGAUAGUUGUUGUCAAACGUGACGUGGUAGGUUUCUUCUAUCUUUUUGGAUUUCUUGUUUAGAACCCUAUAUGUCUUCGAAGUGAGAGAAUACCCUAGGAAAUUCCUUCGUCUGCUUUCACGUCAAAUUUGUUCCUUUGCUCUUUGGAGUUGAAAAUGAAACACUUAGAACCAAAAAACAUGAAAGAACUUAACGUUAGGUUUUUGUUAAUAAAGAAUCUCGUAAGGAGUAAUUGAAAAUCUUUGGUUGAUUAAGGAUCGAUUCUGAGUAAAACAGGUUGUUCGGAUCGCAUUAACCCAGAAAUACAGCGGUAAGUUCGCAAAUUAAAGCAUGGUCCUCGCAGCUUCACAAAGAGAUCGGUUUCGUCUUUCAAUGACUCAGUUCUGCUGAGGAGUGUAAGGAGCAAAGAAGUUGUGAGCAACUCCCUUUUCAGUCAAGAAUUCUUCAAGCACUUGGUUUUUGAAUUCAGAACUGUUAUCAUUGCGAACGUUCCUGACUGGCUUUCGCAAUUGAAUUUCGAUCGGCUUGAUAAAAUCCUUUAACCUCAAGGUAGUAUUUGAUUUAUGUUUAAGAAAAUAAACACAGGUAAAUCGAGAAAAAUCAUCUACAAUAACCAAAAUAUAAUGUUACCACCAACACUCUCAAUGGCAGAUGGGCCAAAAAGAUCAAUAUGUAGAAGUUCAAGUGGCUCAAUGAUUUUGGUAUUUAUAAUCAUGGAGUGACUUUUUCGACUUUUUUGCCUAGUUCACAAGCUGCACACAGAUGCUCCUUGUCGUACUUCAGAAGAGGAAGUCCUCACGCAAGAUCGUCAAGUACAAGUUUGUUGAUGUCCUUGAAAUUUAAGUGCGAGAGCCUUCGGUGCCAAAGCCAACUGUCAUCCGAAUAUGCUUUCGUAAGAAGGCAAAUGGCUGGCUUUCUGAAGGAAACUCAAGGGCGCGACCUAGUGGUUUUUUUGGAUAAUCGGACAGUGUAUCGCAUGGGUCAAAGUUGCAGGCAUGGGUACGGUUUGGAGCAUUCACCAAAACACUAGUACAUAAGGUUGUAUGGGGUAUCAUAGGUGUGUUUGAGGUGGUGAGAGGUUUGGUAGAGAUCAAGGUGAAGUUAGGAUGUCUUUAAAAUAAUAAAAACAUUUUUUUCAUAAAUUAAACAAAUAAAAUAUAGAAACAAAUACCUAAAAAAUUAUAUAUAUAUANNNNNNNNNNNNNNNNNNNNNNNNNNNNNNNNNNNNNNNNNNNNNNNNNNNNNNNNNNNNNNNNNNNNNNNNNNNNNNNNNNNNNNUUAGAGGGAUGUGUUAAAAUAUGAAGGUAUCAAUGAGUAUUUGUAUAGGUAAAGAGGCCAACGUCUGUUUUUUAUAAAAACUAAAAGAGGGAUAUGUAAAAUAUGUUUAAAAUUAAUUAAUAUUUUCUUAAAAUAUUUUUAAUAUAAAAAGUAGUGUAGGAUGGGGGUUGAGAAAAAAAUAAUGUGGGGCCUAUGUGGUAUUAGGGGAUGGUUCCAUUCCCACCACCCUAAUGCACAGAUUUAGAGGUUGUGCAAAACACCACAUGUUAUGUGUUUGCUUGGAAGUACAACCAUUAGUUCGAUAUCCAUACUAAGAUUGUUGUUUUUAUCUGUACUAAGAUUCUUGUUCUAUCGAACACAAAAGUUAAGUAAAUGGCUAUGCUAGCAAAGAGCUUAUUUGGUUGAAGAACUUCUUAUCAAAAUUGGACAUUAAACAAGAAUAUUAUAUCAUGCAUUAUGGUAACUAGAGUACAGUUCACCAUGUUUAAAAAUGUAACGACACAUAUACAGAUGAAUUACUACUUUAUAAUAUAAUUAAUAAGUAAUGGUAUUUUGUCUUUAACGAACAAGACAUGCAAUUAAUAAUUGCAAUUUGCAUUAGUUAAUCAAACACCCAUAAAAUAGGGUUAUUAUCCAUACACAACAUUUUUUCAUACACAACAAAUUAUAUUUUAUAUAGUUGUACAGUACAAUUGUGUAAAAACAUAAAUUGUUGUGUAUGGCUAAAAAUUAUUGUGCACAAAUCACGAAGUAGUGAUCAAAUAGGUAUGCAUGAUUUAAUUCACUAAUAUUUUUUUUUUGUUGGUUAAAAGCUUCAAAAAAAAAGUACAUGAGAAAAUCAAAGGGUAAAAUUUGUACAUAUCCAACAACCUCGCGAUCCAUAUUUAUCGAAGAUUCGUUCGUUUAAAGAUUCAUACAUUGGAUUCCCUAGGAACUCGCCGAUAAUGUCUACCCGGCCCUUUGGUAUUUUUCUUUUACAUCUUUCAAGUUUUCUUGUGGCAACCAAAUCAAAAAAUAGCACUCUCUUUGAAUGCCCUUGACCAUUCUUUUUCCUUGUUUCAGGUAAAUUAGUUUGAGGUAUUGGAGGGAUUUGCUCAAAUUUUUGUUCUUCGAAACGUUCUCAAGUGAGUUUAAUUUCAAAUAAUCUACAAAUGUAUAUUGAUGCUAAAUGCAAUUCUUUUUAAUUAUUGUGCAUACCUCAAUUAUAAUAUGGUUGGUUGUAUAAAAACAAUAGGGAUAAACGCUACAUGACAGGCAUCCAACUCAAAUCACUGUACAACAAAGAGCUCAGUGGAGUGGUGGAGGCCUAUGGUGGCACUAAGUUAAAAUCCGGCAAUAUCCGUGGGGCAAUUAAAAGCUCAAGUGGAGUGGCUUUGAGAUUUGUCAAUCCAGGGCUUUCAGUCAUGUCAACCGCUUCAGAUGAUGGAUUUUUGAACUCAAAUCCAUGUAUGAUAUUGGCCAAUAUCAAUUGCAAAGCAUUUACAGCGAACGAGAUUCCCAAGCACAUUCUUCUACCACUACCAAAUGGAAUCAACUCAAAAUGUUGACCCUUGAUAUCGAUAUCCUUUUUGCUUGUGAAGAAUCUCUCGGGUAUGAAUUCAAAUGGAUCUUCCCAUAUUUCAGGAUCGUGUUGAAUCUUCCAAAUAUUUACCAAAAGUCGAGUCCCUUUAGGAACAGUGUAACCACCUACGAUGCAGUCUUGUGUAGACUCAUGAGGAACAGAAAGUGGCGCAGCUGGGUAAAGUCGCAUUGUUUCAUUGAUAAUGGCUUGAAGAUAGACCAAGUUCUUCAAAUCCGACUCUUCAACCAUUCUAUCUCGUCCUACAUGCUUCUCGAUCUCUUCUUGGGCUUUCUUUAACACAACAGGGUUGUUGACUAGUAAAGCUAAACCCCAUGUUAGAGUAAUUGUUGUAGUAUCGGUUGCUGCAGCUAAAAGUGCCUGAGAAAAGCAACAAAAACUCAC